Molecule: ribosomal RNA, 609 nt
Filed under: Rhabditida sp. 3006ed
Lineage: Eukaryota; Metazoa; Nematoda; Chromadorea; Rhabditida
Description: eukaryotic LSU rRNA
Rfam family: Eukaryotic large subunit ribosomal RNA
Source: RNAcentral
AGAGUCAGAGGACGUGAAACCGGUAGGAUGGAAACGGAUAGAGCCAACGAACAAGCCCGUAUUCAGCUAGUCGGCUGCGUGCGGCAUGCCUGUGUGCUCGUUCAGGGUGCAUGGGUGUGUGCGGUAUGCGGUCGGCUAGUGCAUUUGCGGGUGAUGUGCGCUGAGGCGUGUGGCGGAGUCCUGCCAACUGUCUGGAGAGGCCUCGCCUUCGGGCUUGAAACCUACAGGCGGGGAGUAGGGUUUCUGCUGCAUGUAGACGAAGCGACUAGGUGCAAACGCGCUGUCGUGCUGCCGGGCUAGCUGCUUGGCCGGUCGCAUGCGACUAGGUCUUGUUGGUUGGUCUUGGUGGUGCGGCAGUGCCCUGGUCGACCCUCGGUGUAAAAGUUGGUCAUCUCUCCGACCCGUCUUGAAACACGGACCAAGGAGUCUAGCGUAUACGCGAGUCAUUGGGUGGAAAACCCAUAGGCGAAAUGAAAGUGAAGGUCUCUUUAUGAGGCUGAUAUGCGAUCCGUUGCACUACGGUGUACGCGGAGCAGCAUAGCCCCGUCUCGACUGCUUGCAGUGGGGCGGAGGUAAAGCGUAUUCGCUGGUACCCGAAAGAUGGUGAAC